RNAcentral lists this long non-coding RNA (2732 nucleotides) under Capra hircus (goat). Its description in RNAcentral is "lncRNA (ENSCHIG00010006956.1)". Lineage: Eukaryota; Metazoa; Chordata; Mammalia; Artiodactyla; Bovidae. The record is from RNAcentral.
AUGUCUCUGUCCCUCUGUGUCCCCNCAACCCCCUGGGUCACUGAGACCAGCGCUAGGCUUCCGAUUCAAUCUGAUGACUCCCUCCUCCCGAACUCUCAGCCAGACGCCAGCACCCAGGCACUGCAGGCCUACCCGGCUCAUCCCCUCCAGCUCCUCCUCUUUGCAAAGCUGAGAUGUGAGCCUUCCCCACAGCAAAGCUCUCCCUUCCAGGAGGUGAACCCAAGGCCUUGCUGGUCUCAGUCCCCUGGUCUGCACGGCAUCCUCAGCAACCACAGGUCCUGCUGGCGGGCUUCCUGAGCUGCACCACACCCUUCCAUCUACGCCCUGAAACCUCUUCAUCACCCACCACCAUUUCAUUUGGGCUCACAUCUCAGCUGGCUGAUAAGGUGCCAGUUUCAGUAACAGCCUAACAAUCACUGGAUUCACCGUAACUCCCUAUANNNNNNNNNNNNNNNNNNNNNNNNNNNNNNNNNNNNNNNNNNNNNNNNNNNNNNNNNNNNNNNNNNNNNNNNNNNNNNNNNNNNNNNNNNNNNNNNNNNAACAGCCUAACAAUCACUGGAUUCACCGUAACUCCCUAUAUAUGUGUUUGGCACCUAGUGAGAACUUCCUACCUUCUCCCUCUCAAUGCUGCUUCCUGGAAAUGGUGCUUUUGUUUCAUGAAGUUUAUGAGCACCAACCAUUGUUACAGGUGACCGGAUAUUAACACCAUCUCCUUGUUUUGCUGCAGAAUCACUGCUCAGAUGAUAAAGGCGAACAGCAAGCAAGAUAACAUUUGACUUUUUUCCAUUAAAACCAGUUUCAUAUAACACAGAAGUCAAGCAAAGAACUGGAUGUGAGGGGUAUUAAAAUAUGAGAAGAGCUUAUAAAGCCCACAGUAAAUAUCAAGUUACUCAAAUUUAGUUAUUCUAUUUUGCUUAAACUCUUUGUAGCCCCACAGAGAAGUUGGGCUAUCAGCUUCAGAUUGGUGCAUCAGUCUACAUCAGGGUGUUCAGGGAAGUGUGUCCACUCCUCUGGGCCAGGCCUUUCUUCAAAAGUGGGACUCACCAGACUUUGUCAAGACAAGCUCCCGGUGGUAAAGCCUGUCUCCCCCUGAGAAGGCAGAGGCGGGCAGCCCUGGAUGGACACGCUGCCCACGCACACCACCAAGCCUAGCCCUUGCACUGUGGACAGCUUGGCGGUUACUAGACCAAGUGCCUCUGCUUGCUCCUUCUCUUUCCUGAAAGGAAAGCAGGGCUAUGGGCAGUUCUUCCCUUAGGAAGUUAAAAACCACCAAAUUGUAAAGUUUGCAUUUUACCUGUCACAACCCAGUUCCUCACAGAUCAGCUAACGGAUGAGGCUGCUCCAGGCCCAGCUCCGCGCUUGUCCUGUGGUGCCUGCUGGCUCUUCACCCAGCUUGGCCUGGAGACAGGGUGGAGGCCAUGCCCGUCUUUACAGAGGGGCCCCUGGGAGCCAGGCUCAGCUCAGAGCAGUCUCCUGAAGGGUCAGAGGGUUUGUGGUGUAAGAAGCUCACUCCUCUAUCCCUCCCACUCUUCAAAUAGUACUCUCUGCCCCCUUCCCCCCAAACCCACAAAAAACAAUCAGAGGUUAUCAUAUCAUCCCUGGCUAAUAACCACUGCAGCUGUAAGGCUGGCAGACACUGAGAUACGGGGCAGAAGCACCUCUCUGCACCCCAACUUUCCAAGACACUCUGCUCCAUGAACCUCAAGCUUCUCACGGGCAGGACUGCCUACAGUGAGAAGUGCUUUCUCUGCAAGCAGCCUGGGGUCCCGCCCUCUGCCAGGAUCCCUGGGGGUGGGGUGGGGGCUGGGCAGAGGAUUUCCCCUUGGCACAGCUUCCAGCAAAGAGACAACGUGUUGUUUGGGACAAAAAAUGCUACCCUCCCUAUUCCUGGGAGAUAUGACCUUCCAGAAGUUACUGUCUGUCUCUCCGGACAAAAGCAGGACAUUCUGUAGCUGAGUAGGAAAGUGGCCCCAAGUUUUAGGAAAGAGUUGGGAUCUGAAGCACUAUUCUGAGAGAAUUUCCUCAUAAGAAAUGCCUCUUUGGUUGUUUGACAAUGAAUGUGUGCCCUAGAUUUACCAGAAAUUCAAAUAUUCUAUGAAUAGGCAGACUUUUAGGGUCUAAGUUUUUAGUUUCUUCUCGAGUAAUUUCAUUUCUUUUCAGUAAAGGAAUGUCUGGAGUGAAAUUUAACAUAUAUGGUUUCAUAAUGCACAAAUCAGAAGAUACUCCACUGGGACCUAAGUUCUGGUUCAGGGAAACAAGGUCAUGGUAGUGACACCAUGGUCAGAACUGAGCCACCUUCUCUGGAAGAUGGCCAAACCAAACACUGACGCAGGUGCGUGUCUGGAACCUCCGACAGACCAAGCUCUGCUCUCCUUGAGAUACAUUCUCUCACUGUAAAGCCAGGGGGCAGACCCGUCUUUCUAAACAGUACUCUCUUGGAACUGUUUAUCAAAAAUAUUUUUAUAGUACAAAGACUAGAGUACAAAGGAAAACCAAAUAAAAGCCCUUGGUUAAAGCUAAAAAGAAAAAGCUGUUAACUCUGCACUGCUCCAGCCUCAAACGAUAGCAUGCUGCUGGUCACUCAGAGGUGACAUCACACCCUGAUUCUCUGAGGCGUUUCGUUCCAGGCACCACUGUGUCUGAGGCAUCUGAGCAACACAUCACAGCAGGAGAAGCCAGCUUCACAGGAGAAAUGGCAAGUGUUCCCCUCAAACUCUGUCCUACAGAGUCAA